UACGUAGGCAGCGAGCGUUGUUCGGAGUUACUGGGCGUAAAGGGUGUGUAGGCGGUUCUUUAAGUUUGGCGGGAAAUCUCCCGGCUCAACCGGGAGGGUGCGUCGAAUACUGAGGGACUAGAGUACGGGAGAGGAAAGUGGAAUUCCUGGUGUAGCGGUGAAAUGCGUAGAUAUCAGGAGGAACACCGGUGGUGUAGACGGCUUUCUGGACCGUAACUGACGCUGAGACACGAAAGCGUGGGUAGCAAACAGG
RNAcentral lists this ribosomal RNA (253 nucleotides) under uncultured bacterium. Its description in RNAcentral is "partial 16S ribosomal RNA". It matches the Rfam family "Bacterial small subunit ribosomal RNA", at positions 524 to 776 of the family's 1533-position model. The record is from RNAcentral.